Molecule: long non-coding RNA, 399 nt
Filed under: Cucumis sativus (cucumber)
Lineage: Eukaryota; Viridiplantae; Streptophyta; Magnoliopsida; Cucurbitales; Cucurbitaceae
Description: long non-coding RNA (CSAT_LNC001886)
Source: RNAcentral
AAGAAUUGAAGCUCUGAACAGUUGAAGCUUUGAAGAAUUGAAGCUCUGAAGAAUUGAAGAUUUAAACUUCUACAAGCUCUCAAGAUGUGAAAGUUCGUAUCAACCUCGAGAUCAACAACUUCUGAAAGAUUGAAGACUUGGAAGAUCAAACUUUCCUUGAAUUCCAGAAGAUCGGAGUUCAAAUCGACUUGCAACUACAACAUCCAAACUUUCCUUGAAUUCCAGAAGAUCGGAGUUCAAAUCGACUUGCAACUACAACAUCCUGAAGACCGAAGAUCAAGAAGUUCUAAGUUUUAACUUGUAUUCGAGAGAAGACAUCAAAGGAGUAAAUACUAAAGAUUGUAUUCACAAUAUUCAUCAAUAUAUCAAAGUUCAAUUCCACAAAAUACAUUUCUUCGA